This 525-nucleotide ribosomal RNA is filed under the name Triticum aestivum (bread wheat). Its description in RNAcentral is "partial small subunit ribosomal RNA". Lineage: Eukaryota; Viridiplantae; Streptophyta; Magnoliopsida; Poales; Poaceae. The record is from RNAcentral.
AUGGCUACGAAGAAACAUUUCUUUUGCUAUGGAUCCUUCUCGAUUAAGGGUGGCUCGGAAAUUAUAUUCUGGAAGGACAAGUGGCUAGGAAAUGCCAUACUCCGGGAACAAUAUCCGGCUCUAUACAACAUUGUGCGCCACAAAGGUGAUACUAUCGCCACGGUAAUGGAAUCAUUUCCGCCAAAUGUGAUGUUCAGAAGAGACUUAAUUGAACCCAGACUCCAAUCGUGGAAUAUUCUGCUCCAACGGUUGUCCACGGUGCAAUUGUCACAUGGGUCUGAUGUAUUCCGAUGGAACCUCCAUGGGAAUGGACAAUUCUCAGUGGAUUCUAUGUAUAGAGCGUUAAUCCAGUCCGAUGUGCCAGUUGUUAAUAAUAAGAAGAUCUGGAAGAUGAAGAUACCUCUUAGAAUAAAAUCUUUGCAUGAUAUCUUCGUCGCGGAGUCAUUCUUACUAAAGAUAACCUUAUUAAGAGGAAUUGGCAUGGAAGCCCGCAAUGUGUAUUUUGUCACCAUGAGGAGACAAUAA